This is a long non-coding RNA of Pecten maximus, 1574 nucleotides long. RefSeq lists it as uncharacterized. The transcript is spliced from 2 exons. The record is from RefSeq and is a predicted model, not a curated record. Lineage: Eukaryota; Metazoa; Mollusca; Bivalvia; Pectinida; Pectinidae.
CAAUACUUCCCCUAGACUUCAUCCCAGCCAGCUAUAAUGAGUUUUAAGAAUUUCCCUUAUUUCCCUUAAUAGGCCUCUCUCAAAUUAUAUGCAUGCCUAACAUUCCUAUCUCAGAACGAGGCUAAGUGAGUACAGCCACCGUAGCAACGCAUACACAAUGGCUUCCAGUCAAGCUACAUGUAGCAAAAACAACCAACAUAAUUGUGCACAAAAUUGUGUAUCCAAUGGAAGUUAUGGUGAUUCUAUUAAUUUUCACCAUAUUCCAAAAGAUGAGGAUAUCAAAAAGCAGUGGAUUGUAAAAAUAAGAAGAGAUGAAGGGCCAUUAUUCAAGGUAUUAAAGUCAACAGUCGUUUGUACCAAACACUUUAGGCAAGAUGACUAUAAAAGCUGGACACCUGAUCGAAGCUUUUAAAGCCAGCAGCCAUUCCAUCAGUAUUUAAUUGGAAUGAUAAACCAAAGUCAAGGCGAAUUUUGAAAAGGAAAGGUCCAUUUCCACUAAGUUAACCAAUGCAAAGGUAAAUAUCAAAUGAUUAUGAUACAAAAAAAUUAUUCAAUAUAGUAAAUAUGGAUAUGUCCUUAAAUUGCACAUAAUUCUAACACAGUUAUUACAUAUAUACGUAUACCUUCAAUAUGCAUGUAGUGUAUACAUGUUCUUUAUAUUACAGUGAUGUUACAAUGUGUAUUGAGACACAAGUGGAAGAAGAGUGCAGUAAAGAUAACACAGAAUCAGAAGAACGCAGGACAAAAAGGAGAAACAUAGAGACAGUGUUGGAAACAGCCUAAAACAACAUAAAAAAUCUUGAAGAACAACUGUCUGAAAAGGAGAAAGAGUUGACAUGCUUACGUCAGCAGUUUAGCAUUGAAAAAUUUUGUGUAAAUAGAUUUUCGACAGAUGAUUCUCUAAUUUCAUUCUACACAGGCUUUCAAAUAUAUUUACUUUUCUUACCUUUUUAUGUAUACUGCCAAAAACAUGCAGAGUGCAUAUUAUAAAAGUAGUGAAACUAUUAUUCUAAAUGGUAGAAAGUGUUCUAUGUUGCUCUUUGACGAGCUUUUCUUAUUUUUAUGUCGCCUUUGUGCAGGAUUAUUAGACCAAAAUCUGAUUGUUCGAUUUUCAUCAAAUAUAUUUAAAACAUACUUUGUGGUACUGAAGAUAGACUUCCAUACUUUGUGUCCCAUUUAACAUUUUCUCCACGAAUGGGGUUGAAUAGGGUUGUUUUCAGAUUUUGGUUAGUCGUAUCCUUGACAACCUUUCCUUGGAUUUUCUCCCCUCUUUGGACAUGCCAAGUUUGUGGCCGAGAUGUCUUUGCAAUUUCAACUGGGAUAGCUCUUUGACCUAUAAUCUUGAAUUUCGCAAGCUGGUAAAGAGUUCCCACUACGUGUCCACAUGCUCCUGACAUUCCAAUAGGCCUUACUCACUUCAGGAGUGUUGAUAUCACCGAAACUCACCUGUAAUGUAGUAAUGAUUUCCAUAUGAAUAAUGAACUAUGUUUACGUAAUGACAAAUGUUUUAUGCAUUGGUUAUCUGUAUCAAAAGUGAACGACACAAAAUAAAUGCAUUGAUAUAUUUACAUUGA